Molecule: transfer RNA, 70 nt
Filed under: Acinetobacter baumannii
Lineage: Bacteria; Pseudomonadati; Pseudomonadota; Gammaproteobacteria; Moraxellales; Moraxellaceae
Description: tRNA-Ser
Rfam family: tRNA
About the family: Transfer RNA (tRNA) molecules are approximately 80 nucleotides in length.
Source: RNAcentral
GCCUCUAGACGAUAGGGAACAUCGCCCUUUCACGGCGGUAACCGGGGUUCGAAUCCCCGUAGGGACGCCA